GACGAACGCUGGCGGCGUGCUUAACACAUGCAAGUCGAACGGAAAGGCCCUGCUUUUGUGGGGUGCUCGAGUGGCGAACGGGUGAGUAACACGUGAGUAACCUGCCCUUGCCUUUGGGAUAACUUCAGGAAACUGGGGCUAAUACCGGAUAGGAGCUCCUGCUGCAUGGUGGGGGUUGGAAAGUUUCGGCGGUUGGGGAUGGACUCGCGGCUUAUCAGCUUGUUGGUGGGGUAGUGGCUUACCAAGGCUUUGACGGGUAGCCGGCCUGAGAGGGUGACGGGCCACAUUGGGAAUGAGAUACGGCCCAGACUCCGGGGGGAGGCAGCAGGGGGGAAUAUGGCAAAAUGGGCGGAAGCCUGAUGCAGCAACGCCGCGUGGGGGAUGAAGGCCUUCGGGUUGUAAACCGCUUUCGCCUGUGACGAAGCGGGAGUGACGGUAAUGGGUAAAGAAGCACCGGCUAACUACGUG
This 468-nucleotide ribosomal RNA is filed under the name uncultured bacterium. RNAcentral describes it as "partial 16S ribosomal RNA". It matches the Rfam family "Bacterial small subunit ribosomal RNA", at positions 28 to 507 of the family's 1533-position model. The record is from RNAcentral.